This 85-nucleotide transfer RNA is filed under the name Felis catus (domestic cat). It matches the Rfam family "tRNA". Rfam says of the family: Transfer RNA (tRNA) molecules are approximately 80 nucleotides in length. Their secondary structure includes four short double-helical elements and three loops (D, anti-codon, and T loops). RNAcentral also lists the same sequence under 5 other names. The record is from Rfam by way of RNAcentral. Lineage: Eukaryota; Metazoa; Chordata; Mammalia; Carnivora; Felidae.
GCCUGGGUGGCUUAGUUGGUUAAGCAUCCGACUUCUGCUCAGGUCAUGAUCUCACUGUUUGUGAGUUCAAGCCUCCCGUCAGGCU